Molecule: ribosomal RNA, 249 nt
Filed under: uncultured Hyphomicrobium sp.
Lineage: Bacteria; Pseudomonadati; Pseudomonadota; Alphaproteobacteria; Hyphomicrobiales; Hyphomicrobiaceae
Description: partial 16S ribosomal RNA
Rfam family: Bacterial small subunit ribosomal RNA
Source: RNAcentral
UGGGGAAUAUUGGACAAUGGGCGAAAGCCUGAUCCAGCCAUGCCGCGUGAGUGACGAAGGUCUUCGGAUUGUAAAGCUCUUUUGGCGGGGACGAUAAUGACGGUACCCGCAGAAUAAGCCCCGGCUAACUUCGUGCCAGCAGCCGCGGUAAUACGAAGGGGGCUAGCGUUGUUCGGAAUUACUGGGCGUAAAGCGCACGUAGGCGGAUUUGGAAGUCAGGGGUGAAAUCCCGGGGCUCAACCUCGGAAC